Molecule: ribosomal RNA, 587 nt
Filed under: Rhodotorula mucilaginosa
Lineage: Eukaryota; Fungi; Basidiomycota; Microbotryomycetes; Sporidiobolales; Sporidiobolaceae
Description: eukaryotic LSU rRNA
Rfam family: 5.8S ribosomal RNA (bases 181-334)
Source: RNAcentral
GUAGGUGAACCUGCGGAAGGAUCAUUAGUGAAUAUAGGACGUCCAACUUAACUUGGAGUCCGAACUCUCACUUUCUAACCCUGUGCACUUGUUUGGGAUAGUAACUCUCGCAAGAGAGCGAACUCCUAUUCACUUAUAAACACAAAGUCUAUGAAUGUAUUAAAUUUUAUAACAAAAUAAAACUUUCAACAACGGAUCUCUUGGCUCUCGCAUCGAUGAAGAACGCAGCGAAAUGCGAUAAGUAAUGUGAAUUGCAGAAUUCAGUGAAUCAUCGAAUCUUUGAACGCACCUUGCGCUCCAUGGUAUUCCGUGGAGCAUGCCUGUUUGAGUGUCAUGAAUACUUCAACCCUCCUCUUUCUUAAUGAUUGAAGAGGUGUUUGGUUUCUGAGCGCUGCUGGCCUUUACGGUCUAGCUCGUUCGUAAUGCAUUAGCAUCCGCAAUCGAACUUCGGAUUGACUUGGCGUAAUAGACUAUUCGCUGAGGAAUUCUAGUCUUCGGAUUAGAGCCGGGUUGGGUUAAAGGAAGCUUCUAAUCAGAAUGUCUACAUUUUAAGAUUAGAUCUCAAAUCAGGUAGGACUACCCGCUGA